ACGAAUUGUUAGCGGAACGGGAACGGCCCGUUCGCCGUGCCUGCGACCAACUCGUUGCGCCGUUCCCGUUCCGCUAACAAUCCUC
This 85-nucleotide unclassified non-coding RNA is filed under the name Burkholderia sp. OK233. Lineage: Bacteria; Pseudomonadati; Pseudomonadota; Betaproteobacteria; Burkholderiales; Burkholderiaceae. The record is from RNAcentral.